UGAAUACGAGACGCUAAGGCGUCGAAGUAGUGUAUGUCAUACUUCCAAGAAAAGCUUGCACUGUCAUAGAUAAAAAACGCCUGUACCAUAACCGACACAGGUGGGUAGGUAGAGUAUACUAAGGGGCGCGAGAUAACUCUCUCUAAGGAACUCGGCAAAAUAACUCCGUAACUUCGGGAGAAGGAGUGCCUUAUUCUUAAGGUUGCAAUAACAAGGUCCAAGCAACUGUUUAUCAAAAACACAGGUCUCCGCUAAGUCGUAAGACGAUGUAUGGGGGCUGACGCCUGCCCAGUGCCAGAAGGUUAAAGAAGCUGGUUAGCAUUUGCGAAGCUAGUAACUGAAGCCCUGGUGAACGGCGGCCGUAACAAUAACGGUCCUAAGGUAGCGAAAUUCCUUGUCGGGUAAGUUCCGACCCGCACGAAAGGCGUAAUGAUUUGGAUACUGUCUCGGAGAGGGGUUCGGUGAAAUAGACUUGUCUGUGAAGAUGCGGACUACCUGCACCAGGACAGAAAGACCCUAUGAAGCUUUACUGUAACUUGAAAUUGAAAUUGGACUUUAUUCGCGCAGUAUAGGUGGGAGGCGUUGAUUAUAAUCUUGCGGGAUUAUUGGAGCCAUUAGUGAGAUACCACUCUUGUAAUGUUAGAUUUCUAACUUUGAAUCAUUAUCUGGUCAAAGAACAGUUUCAGGCGGGCAGUUUGACUGGGGCGGUCGCCUCCUAAACGGUAGCGGAGGCGUACAAAGGUUUCCUCUGAACGGUUAGAAAUCGUAUCUAGAGUGUAAAGGCAUAAGGAAGCUUGACUGUGAGACCUACAAGUCGAGCAGGUACGAAAGUCGGUCUUAGUGAUCUGACGGUACUGAGUGGAAAGGCCGUCACUCAACGGAUAAAAGUUACUCUAAGGAUAACAGGCUGAUCUCCCCCAAGAGUUCACAUCGACGGGGAGGUUUGGCACCUCGAUGUCGGCUCAUCGCAUCCUGGGGCGGUAGUACGUCCCAAGGGUUGGGCUGUUCGCCCAUGAAAGCGGUACGCGAGCUGGGUUCAGAACGUCGUGAGACAGUUCGGUCCAUAUCCGGUGUAGGCGUUAGAAUAUUGAGAGGAGCCUUCUUUAGUACGAGAGGACCGAGAAGGACAUACCUCUGGUGUACCAGUUAUCGUGCCAACGGUAAACGCUGGGUAGCUAUGUAUGGAGUGGAUAACCGCUGAAAGCAUCUAAGUGGGAAGCCCACCUCGAGAUAAGUAUUCUCAC
RNAcentral lists this ribosomal RNA (1244 nucleotides) under metagenome. RNAcentral's name for it is "bacterial LSU rRNA". It matches the Rfam family "Bacterial large subunit ribosomal RNA", at positions 1564 to 2817 of the family's 2925-position model. The record is from RNAcentral.